RNAcentral lists this ribosomal RNA (460 nucleotides) under uncultured bacterium. RNAcentral's name for it is "partial 16S ribosomal RNA". It matches the Rfam family "Bacterial small subunit ribosomal RNA", at positions 338 to 795 of the family's 1533-position model. The record is from RNAcentral.
CCUACGGGCGGCAGCAGUGAGGAAUAUUGGUCAAUGGACGGAAGUCUGAACCAGCCAUGCCGCGUGCAGGAAGACGGCUCUAUGAGUUGUAAACUGCUUUUGUACAAGGGUAAACCUGAAUACGUGUAUUCAGCUGAAAGUACUGUACGAAUAAGGAUCGGCUAACUCCGUGCCAGCCGCCGCGGUAAUACGGAGGAUCCAAGCGUUAUCCGGAUUUAUUGGGUUUAAAGGGUGCGUAGGCGGAUUGAUAAGUUAGAGGUGAAAUGUCCGAGCUUAACUCGGGAACUGCCUCUAAUAAUGUUGAUCUAGAGAGUAGAUGCGGUAGGCGGAAUGUAUGGUGUAGCGGUGAAAUGCUUAGAGAUCAUACAGAACACCGAUUGCGAAGGCGGCUUACUGGACUGUAACUGACGUUGAGGCUCGAAAGCGUGGGGAGCAAACAGGAUUAGAUACCCGAGUAGUC